RNAcentral lists this long non-coding RNA (676 nucleotides) under Prunus persica (peach). RNAcentral describes it as "long non-coding RNA (PPER_LNC004148)". The record is from RNAcentral. Lineage: Eukaryota; Viridiplantae; Streptophyta; Magnoliopsida; Rosales; Rosaceae.
GUCUGGGCCAUUCUACUUCAUCAGUGGGCAAAAUGGUAAUUGUGACAAGGGCCAGAAACUCUUCAUAGUUGUCUUGGCUGUUAGGCAUCACAACAAACCAAACCCUCCUGUUGCUCCCACAACUCCCCCUAGCACCAGCCCUACCUCCCCAUCCCCCAAAUCUCCAUCUCCUCAGUACCCUCAUCACCCUCCUGGGACCUCACCAUCACCAGCAUCAGUGGCUAACCCUCCAGCCACCUCACCAUCACCAGUAGUGGCUAGCCCUCCUGCCACCUCCCCAUCACCAGUGGGCUACCCUCCUGCCACCUCCCCAUCGCCAGUGGGCUACCCUCCUGCCACCUCACCAUCACCAGUGGGCUACCCUCCUGCCACCUCACCAUCACCAGUGGGAUACACUCCUGCCACCUCACCAUCCCCAUCAACAACAACAUCUCCAGCGCUAGCGCCAGGUCCAUCUUCAUCCCUUACACCAUUUCCUUCUCCACCCUCACCGCCCCCCGAGGGGCCCACACCGCCCUCCGAGGGGCCCACACCGGCCCCGUCCGCAGAGUCUGCGGGCCCCACACCACCGGGAACCGUUUCUCCGCCGCCCGGGACAGCGGACUCGACGGCUCCGAGACCGGCGGGGAGUGGAGCGUCGCAUAGUGUAACGGCUCCUUCGAGCGUGCUGGUGUCU